UGAGACACUAAUAGUAUUUCCCCAGCAUACCCUUAAAAUAAUCUGGGCUUCUUGGGAAUGGUGAGUGUUAGUUGGUUGUUUAAGUUUCACAUGAAGUUUGAAGUGACAAUGAAUCUCCUCAGCUUUCUCCUCUGACAGAGGCCAUCAAGUCAACUUUUGGCUCUGACAAGAAUGCUAAACCUGGGAAUCAGGAAAAGAAUCCGAAGACUGGGGCUUCUUCAUGUUAAAAUCGUUUGUUUAUUCAUUCAUUCUUCUUUCUUGGAAUAUUGUUGUGUAAUUAUGUGCUGCUUAAAAUUGGAGAAGCCAUGCUGUGACUUGGAUAAUAGCUCUGGACAACUGUGGAUGACGAAGUAGAGACACUGGGACUUGGGUCUUUGAUGACAUUGAACCACCAAGGCAAACCUGGGGCCAUCUGUCACCUGACUGUCAUCUGUCACCUGCCAUCUGUCACCUGCCUAUUAAGGAAAUAAACUUCCUUCAGUGUGAGCCACAGCAGGUCCUGACUGUGUGUUGAGAGCAUAGGGUUGAGUUCCUGAGAAGAGCUCUCUCUCCUUCACAAAGAGCCUGCCGACUUCAGAAGGGCUGAUUCACAGAGUGACUUAUGGUGGCUACGGAGAGUCCCUAGGGGAAGGCAUUGAUCACCAGUGGCUGUUCUGCUAAACUUUCCAAAUGUUCUAGAUGUUCCACCUGCAAGAGAUCAACUACCGAAGAGCUCAACAGGAAUGAAGAAACCAGCUACAUGUUUUUCAGUCAGGAGCUUAAAUUGUUUUUCUUUUCAAGCACUAUCUCAAGCCUGUGACCACAGAAAGCAUUCCACAAUAAAAAAUCACUUUUCAAGCAACCAUUCAGAAAUUUCC
Mustela lutreola (European mink) is the source of this 857-nucleotide long non-coding RNA. RefSeq lists it as uncharacterized. The transcript is spliced from 4 exons. NCBI's taxonomy places the organism in Eukaryota, Metazoa, Chordata, Mammalia, Carnivora, Mustelidae. The record is from RefSeq and is a predicted model, not a curated record.